CAGCAGCCGCGGGAAUACCGAGGGUGCGAGCGUUAAUCGGAUUUACUGGGCGUAAAGCGUGCGUAGGCGGCUUCUUAAGUCUGAUGUGAAAUCCCUGAGCUUAACUUAGGAAUUGCAUUCGAUACUGGGAAGCUAGAGUAUGGGAGAGGAUGGUAGAAUUCCAGGUGUAGCGGUGAAAUGCGUAGAGAUCUGGAGGAAUACCGAUGGCGAAGGCAGCCAUCUGGCCUAAUACUGACGCUGAGGUACGAAAGCAUGGGGAGCAAACAGGAUUAGAUACCCCAGUAGUCCCUGUCUCUUAUAC
This 301-nucleotide ribosomal RNA is filed under the name uncultured bacterium. RNAcentral's name for it is "partial 16S ribosomal RNA". It matches the Rfam family "Bacterial small subunit ribosomal RNA", at positions 509 to 807 of the family's 1533-position model. The record is from RNAcentral.